This 1504-nucleotide ribosomal RNA is filed under the name uncultured bacterium. Its description in RNAcentral is "bacterial SSU rRNA". The stretch from base 872 to 1504 matches the Rfam family "Bacterial small subunit ribosomal RNA", at positions 874 to 1515 of the family's 1533-position model. The record is from RNAcentral.
CACACCAGGCAGCUCUAAGAUACUUCUGUGAUAAUACUUCCCUUGAUCGUGACACCGAGGUGGACGAAGAAAGAGAGGGUGUAGAUCAACCGUUCGUUCGAAUCCCUUUCUAAGGGGAGGCUGGCGGGGUGUAGGAGCGGACGGGUCAUUUACCCCGCGGAAACGUGUCUGACCCUGGCACAUACCCGAAAUUGCGGACCUCUCCGGCAGACUGACCGCGGGGCCACGACGCUUAUUAUGAGCCUGCCCCCUUUAGGUAUUUCGCGUCGCUAUGGUCCGCCGGAGCCACCCUAGAUGCCCGUUUGACAAGAUGGUAGAGUGACCCGGGAUUGAUCCUCCCACCGACUCUUCCACCAGUUCUUCUGGAAUUCACUCCACGUUCGCAAUUUGCACCACCAGGGUUCGUCGAAAGGGCAGCGUCGUGUCGCCCCCCCCUUGGGUGAGAAGAAACUUCAAAAACAGUCCUGGAGGCCCCAACGUCAGGUCAGAACAAACUAUAGUCAAGUCCUUGCAUCCGCCGAUGCCAUCCCGGCGGGGGCAAGAAAAGAUACGAAGGCGAGCGCCGUAGGGCGAGCGCCCGGGACUCUGUUAGGUUGCUUUGAUUAUUGAAUCGGUUUUCGCUAUGGAGGUUUUUUGGAAUAGCCCUCUUUUAAUACGGUAAGGGGAGUGUCCUAAUGGGUGGUAAAUUUGUAAGGGGAAAUGUCAGGAAAGAAAUAAUGUAGGGGAACCCCCCACCUCUGACCGUAACCAGUCCGCUAUCUUUCCGGGGGUGGCCUGGCCACACAUUAUUAAAUCCCGCGAGAGUGCCUCGCCCCCCCGAAUCCCCCCCCUGUGAAAAGCUGUGUCUCCCCGUUAUAAAGGCCUUGGCGCUUGGAAAAUUCUAUACUUGGCUCUAAUGUUUGCGGGGGCCCGCACAAGCGGUGGAGCAUGUGGUUUAAUUCGAAGCAACGCGAAGAACCUUACCAGGUCUUGACAUCCUCUGACAACCCUAGAGAUAGGGCGUUCCCCUUCGGGGGACAGAGUGACAGGUGGUGCAUGGUUGUCGUCAGCUCGUGUCGUGAGAUGUUGGGUUAAGUCCCGCAACGAGCGCAACCCUUGAUCUUAGUUGCCAGCAUUCAGUUGGGCACUCUAAGGUGACUGCCGGUGACAAACCGGAGGAAGGUGGGGAUGACGUCAAAUCAUCAUGCCCCUUAUGACCUGGGCUACACACGUGCUACAAUGGAUGGAACAAAGGGUCGCGAAGCCGCGAGGUCGAGCCAAUCCCAUAAAUCCAUUCUCAGUUCGGAUUGCAGGCUGCAACUCGCCUGCAUGAAGCCGGAAUCGCUAGUAAUCGCGGAUCAGCAUGCCGCGGUGAAUACGUUCCCGGGCCUUGUACACACCGCCCGUCACACCACGAGAGUUUGUAACACCCGAAGUCGGUGGGGUAACCUUUUGGAGCCAGCCGCCUAAGGUGGGACAGAUGAUUGGGGUGAAGUCGUAACAAGGUAGCCGUAUCGGAAGGUGC